Molecule: microRNA, 22 nt
Filed under: Cordylochernes scorpioides
Lineage: Eukaryota; Metazoa; Arthropoda; Arachnida; Pseudoscorpiones; Chernetidae
Source: RNAcentral
AAACACCAGCUUACCCCGGAGU